Long non-coding RNA from Lycium barbarum (goji berry), 2596 nucleotides. RefSeq lists it as uncharacterized. The transcript is spliced from 5 exons. Lineage: Eukaryota; Viridiplantae; Streptophyta; Magnoliopsida; Solanales; Solanaceae. The record is from RefSeq and is a predicted model, not a curated record.
GAUCGCACAAAUAAACAUUUCUCUCUCUUUCCUCUCACCUUUUCUCUCUCUAACCCUAACCUAAUAACGCCGUCGACGUCGCCAGCAUUCCUGCCAAUCACCGUCGUCGCCGCGGCUCCUACCCAGUCCCGCAGUUGCCGUCACUGUCGACGGCGAAAAAUUGGAGAUAUGCUUUCUUUCUUUUCUUGGCUAAGAAAUGACAUUGAAAAAAGAGUUUGCCUAAUAUUGUUUCUGAUUUAUAAAGUGAAUUCCUGUAUUUAGAAUUAGAGUUAUAAGGAAUUCCACAGUAUUACUACCUGGAUACUGUUAAGUAUGCGACUGCGUAUUGGGUUUGAAUGUGAUAAGUUUUCCGUAUGACUUAAGACUUUUAUCAAGAGUGUGUUUCAACAGUUUGAAUGCCUUGUGAAUGUUCCUUGCAGUGACUGAUUUGACAAUAUAGUUCUUGCUUAUCUUUUUGUAUAAAAUAAGGAAUAAAUGCCUAAAGCUAUGAAGAAUAUAUUCCCCACUAUGUGACAAGGUGGGAAUAUGGUACCCAUUUAUGACCAACAAUACAUACAAGCAGAAUAACAGGAAAAGGCAAACGGAGUUGUCCAUAUAAGUUGAAGCAUCAUGGGUUGAGUAAGGAUUUCGCGUCACCUCACUAAACUGACUCAGUUAGUCCAAUAAUCCUCGCAAUUCUGCUUUUAUUGGGCAAGUUGCGUUGCAGUUUGGUACUCAACUAUGCGACUAUUGAUCCUUACUUCCUUUUUUUAAUACUCUGAAUAAUAUUGUUAAUGCUUUUCUGAGGAUAGGUAAAGAGUUGCUUGUAGAGAUGGUUGGAGAAACAUUCCUUCUGUAAUUAAUUACUUUUUCUUCUUCUCCUCCUCCUCCGUCGCUGCUUCCAUAGUUGCUUGACACAUUUGAACUUAUAGAAGGUAAAGAGGUUUAAAUUUGGGGAGAUUGAGUUUUUUUCCUUCUUCUUGUCCAUAGUUGCUUGACAACCUGUAAUGAAUUCUGAAUUUAUAGAAGUUAAAGCUAGCAGGUAAAGUGGUUUAAUCUUUUAGGGAGAUUGUUUUUUUUUUUCAACAGGAAAUUGAUCAUGUAGCUUGAAAUUACGUAAUCUGGUUUCUAAUGGGAUAUUUUACAUAAUAAGUUAUAUUUGAUUGCAGAUAUCGUGGAUGGAAAAAUUUGUGCGAAAGGGAACUGAAAUUACUGCUCUUGUUCCAAUGGCUCCACCAGCUACUACCGACCUUGGAGGCUUUGAAGUUCCAUCAUCUUAAGGAGUUCUGCGACCUGAUGCAAGCAAAUUAAAUGUUGGGGUUCUGCAUCUGGUCCCAUCUUUGGAGGUUUUCCCUCUUUUAGCAGAUCCUAAAACGUACUGGUUCACUGUAUUAUCUGAGCAUCUGUCGGACCUUGUUGACAAGUGGCUAGUGAGGGUGGAAUUGACGAUGCAAAAAGAAGGGGUGAUGCAUUUGCUCGGGCAUUUUCCGCACAUUUGGCUAGAUUAUAGAGUUUGUUUCAGUCUUGGUGAGUGUUAGCAGUGAAGCUGCUGAAAAGGAGUUGAUUCGGCUUGGUGCUGUUUAACGCAUCCUAGAAUUAUUUUUUGAGUAUCCAUACAACAACUUUUUGCAUCAUCAUGUUGAGACUAUCAUAGUUUCGUGCUAGGAGAGUAAGAAUAUUCAAUUUGCUGAACAUCUUCUUGGUGACUGUAAUCUUCUUGUGAAAAUUGUCGAGGCAGAGAAAAAUUCAACGCUUGUUGCUGAUCCAUCCAAGGUAAUAAUCAAAAUUUAGGUGCUUUACUCAACAUUCUUAAUUUUACUUGCUUGUCCUUCCCAAUUUUUUUUAAUUCUUUUCCUAAAUCUUGGGCUGUGGUGUUGAAGCCUUCUCCAAAACAAACCAGCAAUAGCGCCAGUUUCCUGGACCAACUUGACAUCUGAAUUUAACCUCAUCUGCACCAGUUUCCAAUAGUUCACUGAUGCAAAUCUUGGUUUCAAGUUGGUGCAUAUUAUUCCCAUAUCAUUUACUGUGGUUUUUGGGCCAAUGAGAUAGUAAAUAUCAUCAAAUUUGAAUAGGUGAUUGCCUCUUUUUUCCAAGGGUAAACACACUAGCAUUAAUAUUCAAUGGUUCCUCAACACAUUUAGCCACAACUGCUAUCUCUUGACUAGCUAUUGGUGCUACCACUACUUUACUUGCAUCAACAUCUGCUGCAAUUUUUUAAACCAUAUCUGCAUUAAUAACAGGUACUAGAGCUUGUUGAGUCACUUGUACUACAACUAACUGCCUGUCUUUAGAAACAAUGGGACUCACGUGUCAAACACACAAAGGCAUGUUUGAAUGUUAAUGUUGUGAUGGAUUUGUGGACUGUGCAAGUGUUUUGUGGAUGUUUGCGAGGGGUGAAGUAGUCUAAUGUUGUAGACUAACUUAGUGUAGACUAGUUUAAUAUUUUGUGGAUGUUUGCAAAGGUUGAAGUAGUUUAAUGUUGCGUUGAUGUUUGCGAAGGUUGAAGUAGCUUAAUGUCUCUUGUGAAUGUUUGAAUGACGUUUUGAUUCAACUUUGAAGUAGUUUCGAAUUGAAUUUUGAUGUAUUGGUGGUUGUAAUAUAUGUGUUUGUUGAAGUA